Durio zibethinus is the source of this 1796-nucleotide non-coding RNA. Lineage: Eukaryota; Viridiplantae; Streptophyta; Magnoliopsida; Malvales; Malvaceae. The record is from RefSeq and is a predicted model, not a curated record.
UCAUCCUUUUGUACAUCACCAAAAUAGUUGAGAUGUAACUAAUCGUACAAUAACUAGACAAACAAAGACAUAUAUGUCAUGUGUACAUCAUUUGUCAAAGUCGCCGUCAGGCGACGCUUUGUAAUCCACGCGCUUUUUUCCAUUCUCUUUGUUAAAAGACAAUUCCCAUUAAGCUGAGUUCCCAAAGUUCAAGACGUUAAAAAAACACGAGAGUUGAGAUUCCUCGUCUUACAACUUUGUUGCGUCACGGCUGCUUCAACAUCCCACGCGCCUCCCUACCCAAAUUCACGCGCCGCUUCUCUGCCUUUUAAUUUCCUCUUUUUCUCGUUUCUUUUAUUUUUCUGUCAUAUGUAAACAAAAGAAAGAUCUGAAGAUCGGACGGUGGAGAUUGAGAGUUGGUGUUUCGAGGCGGCUUAGCUUUUUUGGUCAUUUGAAUGAAAGAGGAAUAUCUGCUGAUGCUAAGAAGGAGAUGGGAGGAGUCACGUCGUCGAUCGCCGCGAAAUUCGCGUUCUUCCCGCCAAAUCCGCCGUCUUACAGAGUGGUAGAAGACGAGUCAUGCGGCGGUCGGCUUUACAUACCGGAGGUACCGAGGAGGGAUGACGUCGACGUCUUGAAGCUUCGCACGCGCCGUGGAAACGACAUCGUCGCUGUCCAUAUAAAGCACCCGAAAGCUUCCGCUACUAUCUUGUAUUCUCAUGGAAAUGCCGCUGAUUUGGGACAAAUGUUUGAGCUUUUCGUCGAGUUGUGUAAUCGCCUUCGAGUCAAUCUUAUGGGGUAUGAUUACUCUGGCUAUGGACAAUCAACUGGGAAGCCAACUGAGUGUAAUACAUAUUCAGACAUAGAUGCAGCAUAUAAGUGCCUUAAGGAACAGUAUGGAGUUAAAGAUGAACAAUUAAUAUUAUAUGGUCAGUCUGUUGGUAGUGGACCCACUGUCGAUCUUGCUUCUCGUUUGCCAAACUUGAGAGGUGUGGUUCUACAUAGCCCAAUUUUGUCUGGCAUGAGAGUGUUGUACCCUGUUAAGAAGACAUACUGGUUUGACAUUUAUAAGAAUAUUGACAAAAUUGGUGCAGUGAACUGUCAAGUUUUGGUAAUUCACGGGACAGCGGAUGAAGUUGUUGAUUGCUCCCAUGGUAAACAGCUUUGGGAGCUUUGCCAGCAUAAGUACGAUCCAUUAUGGGUGAAUGGAGGAGGACAUUGCAAUCUUGAGAUCUAUCCAGAAUUCAUUAGACAUCUGAAGAAAUUUGUACUAUCCCUAAACAAAUCAAAAGCAGCCUCAAACGGUUCUGAAAAAACAGCAGUAAACAAUGACAAUCAAAGCAAACCAUCUGAUCGUGGAACUUCAGAUACUUUUGAAUUGGGUGCUGACCUUCCAGAAGUUUCCAGAAACAGUUUAGAUAGUCGACUUGAGAAGUCUAAGAAGUCAAAUAAGCCUGAGAAGUCUCGAAUGAGUACUGACCGCGUCGAUAGGUUUAGGAGAAAAAAAGGCUUAGUCUGGUGAUUACUUACAGGAAGAGCAUCUUAAAUAAAGCAUGCGCAUCUAUCCACUUGAGGAGGCUUUAGAUUUCUCAAAAACAUUACCUGGCAGGUUGAAAUAUCAAAUGACUCAUGAAAAAAAUCAACUAAUUAGGAAUCCAUUACUGAGCAGUGGCCUUAGUAGUAUUAAAAUUAUGCAUAAAAAAGGGCUGCCUUGAGUAGCCAAAUUUAUGUAUUUCUUAUUGAACGAAACCUUAGGUACAUGGUUAGUGUUUUUUUUUUUUUGCCCUUUGGUACAAAAAAGUUUAGGUGAGGAGAGGUUA